GACGAACGCUGGCGGCGUGCUUAACACAUGCAAGUCGAACGAAGUGGCGAACGGGUGAGUAACGCGUAAUCAACCUGCCCUUCAGCGGGGGACAACAGUUGGAAACGACUGCUAAUACCGCAUACUGAAGGAGGGGAUUGCGUCUGAUUAGCUAGUUGGAGGGGUAACGGCCCACCAGGGCGAGGAUCAGUAGCCGGAAUGAGAGGAUGAACGGCCACAUUGGGAGUGAGAAACGGCCCAGACGCCUACGGGAGGCAGCCGUGGGGAAACGGCAGGAAGGGACGAAAGACAGAGGGAGCAACGCGGAGUGAGGGAGGAGGGACGUCGGGUUGUAAAGCACUGUUAAUCGGGACGCGGUACCGGAAUAGAAAGCAACGGCUAACUACGUGCCAGCAGCCGCGGUAAUUC
RNAcentral lists this ribosomal RNA (408 nucleotides) under uncultured bacterium. RNAcentral's name for it is "partial 16S ribosomal RNA". It matches the Rfam family "Bacterial small subunit ribosomal RNA", at positions 28 to 526 of the family's 1533-position model. The record is from RNAcentral.